AGAACGAACGCUGGCGGCAUGCCUAACACAUGCAAGUCGAACGAACCCUUCGGGGUUAGUGGCGCACGGGUGCGUAACGCGUGGGAACCUACCAUCAGGUUCGGAAUAACAGUUAGAAAUGACUGCUAAUACCGGAUAAUGUCUUCGGACCAAAGAUUUAUCGCCUUUUGAUGGGCCCGCGUUGGAUUAGCUAGUUGGUAAGGUAAAAGCUUACCAAGGCGACGAUCCAUAGCUGGUCUGAGAGGAUGAGUCAGCCACACUGGGACUGAGACACGGCCCAGACUCCUACGGGAGGCAGCAGUGGGGAAUAUUGGACAAUGGGCGAAAGCCUGAUCCAGCAAUGCCGCGUGAGUGAUGAAGGUCCUUAGGGUUGUAAAGUCUCUUUACUGGGAUGAUAUGACAGUACCCAGAGAAUAACG
This 419-nucleotide ribosomal RNA is filed under the name uncultured soil bacterium. RNAcentral's name for it is "bacterial SSU rRNA". It matches the Rfam family "Bacterial small subunit ribosomal RNA", at positions 26 to 491 of the family's 1533-position model. The record is from RNAcentral.